CCAGAAAUCCUAACCCAUUUCCCUUUACCCGCCGCAUCAGAAUCCUCUCUACUCUCAUCUUCUUUAACCCUAUCCGCCUCACUCAAACCUUCUCCGAAUCCGUCUCAAUCAUGGAUUCCUUCCAUGAUUUUCUUACCUUUUAUGUGAUUCCUCAGUAUGCUUUGCAAGACUAAGGUGUUACAUAGUAUUUGCCCCAAUUUUGGCAAGUACCAGUCCCCAAAUCGGAUUCCUCCGCCUUCAACUUUUGGGAUUUAGAUGAUAUUUCGUCUAUGUGCACUCAUUAUCAGGCUAUAUGGUCCGAUUCAAUGUCGAAGGGUGAAUUGGCGCUGCAAUUCUAGCACCAUGCUUUUAGAAGGUUUGAAAUGCAAUUGAUCAAUGGAGGAAGCCAGUGACUACUUUUGCUUACAAUUGGAAUGACUCGUAGUCCCCCUAUUAUCGGUGUAUAACUUUUGGCUUGGGUUUUCAAUCCUCGAAAUUUUAUUCUAACUGUAUUUUGAAUUUAACAGUGUAAAUCCUUUUUACACUUUAGUGUAAUAUGGAUAUUGUAUAUUUCAUGGAUUAAAAGCUUAUUACUUGUGCUUGGCUUUUGAAUAACCUAAUAUUAUAAGAAAAGUCUCACCGUUUGUGUA
Long non-coding RNA from Nicotiana attenuata, 629 nucleotides. RefSeq lists it as uncharacterized. Lineage: Eukaryota; Viridiplantae; Streptophyta; Magnoliopsida; Solanales; Solanaceae. The record is from RefSeq and is a predicted model, not a curated record. The transcript is spliced from 2 exons.